Molecule: non-coding RNA, 497 nt
Organism: Callithrix jacchus (white-tufted-ear marmoset)
Lineage: Eukaryota; Metazoa; Chordata; Mammalia; Primates; Cebidae
Source: RefSeq, a predicted model, not a curated record
CAGUGCCGCCGGUGGUGCGGUUCGCGCUUGGACUGCGUCAGCAGCGUUGGAGGCGCGAUCCGCGCAGGUGGCGUGGGGGGGUGCUUUUCUAUGGCGUCAGCGUGGUCGGCGCGUCAGUGACGUCAGCGGCGCGACCCCGGCGUCUACGGUGCGUCCGAGGCGUCCCAGGCGCGGAGUGCAUCGGCGGCGCGGUCGGCACCUCCAGAAUGUAGGCGAUGCAGUAAGCUGGUCGGGUGCAUCCUCGGCGCGGUUAGCGGUUCGGCGGCUUCCCAGCCGCUCACAAGGUUGGAGUGCAGUGGUGCCAUCAUAGCUCACAGUAACAUGUAACUCAAGACUCAAGGAAUUGUCCUGCCUCAGUCUCCCAGCUUAUAUGAAGGCCAAUCAUGUUCAGACCCAGGCGGAGGUUCCUGCUGACCCAGGCUCUCACCGGCACAUUGUCCUUUACUGUCCUCCUGAGGGCGUCUGGAGCUUCAGUGCUGUGUGCUCUGGGCCUCCAU